AUGGGGGGAGGGGUGAUUUGGACAAGAAACAAACCCUGCUUUCACUUACAGGUGCUCGCAAGGGCCAGUACCUUGAAGAAACUCUGGAAUAAAUACAUCUGGGCCUUUGAAAAUGGAGACAAGACGACCUGGAAAUCUGCGUGCUCAUUAAGAUUACAUGGCUACAGGCUACAGCACCUUUGGAGAGUCCUUCUGUUAACACUCUCAGUAGCUUCUCCCCAUCUCCCUGUGCUCACAGGCAUCUUCCUGCAGACAGGUCUUCUUCAUAUUACAAAAGAAGCCAGAGCACAUCACCUUUCUGCAUGUCUGCCAUGUUCUUCAAACAGUGGGCUGGCGCCAGAUAUGUGUCACAUGGUCAAGGUAAGUGACACAGCUGCAGGCAGCCUUGCCCCAGGCCCUUCUGAGGCAGGUCCCUGUCUGCUGGCUGAGUCCUGAGCUUGGGAGGUGUGUAUCCUGUAAACAACAGUUUGGUGCUAAGGUUCCCCUUCUUUGUGGCCAUGAGACCAGACCUCUGCUCCCAUUUUAUCUCUGUUUUUCUUCAGAGCUUCCUACCACCCUUGGGCAGGGGACUGUGGGAGAUUCUCAGAGCCAUCUGCCUUGACAGCACAGAGGGAGUUAUAAGCACUCUCGUUUGGCAUCCUGUCAGCCCCAACCCACCAUGAUGACCUCAAACUGCUCGUGCCAGACCUCCUCAUGAUAGGACCUUCCCAAGGACUUUUUCUGUAAGGUAUGCAGAAAUGCUCCCUGCAGCUUAGACAAUUGGAAGAUGGGAGAAAAAAAAAAAAAAAACCACUAGGCCCAGCUCCACUAUUUCGCUUUAUCUCCCCACGCCACCCUAUAGCCUUCUUUGUCAGGAUGCUGAAUGCUUUGGUCCCCAUCUUCACAUGCCUGUACUAUGGACUGGCCAGUCUGGGGCCCUGUGUGCGUGCAGCUCUACCUGUGGUGGAAGUGACAUUUAACCAUCCUUCAGCAGGUAAGAAAGACCCAUCAGCUCCAGGGGUCUUGGCUGAGUCCUGGGUUCUAUUCUUAGUUGCACCAGUGAUGUGGUAUCUGAACACAAACAAGCCCUUCUUAACGCUGUUCUUCCUUAGUUUCUAAACUUGUAAGGUUCUCAGUAACCAUCUUGUCAAUCCUAGAACCAACCCUAAGUCACUGACCUGAUGUGGGACCUGGAGCAAGUGACUUCCACACUUCAGACAUCAGUCUAAUCCAUGAAGUAAGGGGGGUGGGCUAUAUGACCUCAAAGCACUAAUAUCCUGAGAGCCUGGGAUAACUGAUGACCCUUCAUGUGACCAGAGGGUGCCUUGUGGUUUGGGGAGUGCCAUUGCCAGCUGGUGGUAGCAGCCUGAGGUAUUCCUCAGGCCGCCUAGGAUUGAUUGAGUCCAUCAUCAAUGUUCACAAGACAUGGCUGGAUUGGUGCAAAUGGGGAGCCAGAACUGGGAGAAGGAUCAGGAAGACUCUUGGGAUCAUAAAUCGGGAGAAAAUGGGGGCAAUGCCUCACCAUCCCCCUGCCGGUAGACAGGGAAGUGAAGACAAGAGGAGUCAAGGGUAACGUUCUUCCAGUUCCUCAGCACUGCUCACUGCUCUCCUGUUUAUGUUCUCUCAUGCUUUCCUUCACCCAGGGUCGGUUGCCACCGUUGCCCACUCCUCCUACAGCCACUUCACUGAGUGCUCCUUCCCUGAUGGGUUCAACAUGGCGGUCCUCCUCUGCAGCCUCAGUGUCAUCAGCCUUUUCCUCAACUGUCACCACCAGACAUACCUGAGGGGCAAGCGGGAGAAGCUGACUUCAGGGGCAGGACCCAAGGACUGAAACUAGGAGAGCUGUCCCCACAGAGAGUCAGCAGAAGACAGCGUGGGUCACAGCCCACCUGUGCUGAGCAGAUACCUCUGGGCCUGCAUUUCAUUCUGUGAAGGGUGGAGGAGAAUUGCCUUCUUUCUGAAGUUCAGGAGAACAGAAAUGGACCAAGCUCCUUGCACUCACUUCUGUUACAGCAUUUCUCACAUGGAUUUGUCACUGUUUGAUGUGAGCCCUCUCAGGAGGGACUGUCUUGUUCUCAAUGUUCCCCUCCACCUGGCACAGUACCUUAAUAAAUGUGCAUUUGGGUCCUUGUAUUCCAUGACUGGCCGUCAUGACAUUUGGUGAAGAUCAGGGCUGGUGGCAUGCCUAAAGCCAAGGCUGGCUUGAUAUCCAACCUUGCAGUAGGAAAAGAUGCUAAGAAUAUGCAAGGGUGGGUCUGUUUGCUUUCUAGCAUGGCUGUGUCAAUGUUUGCCCCUGUGUCUCUUCUUGUCUCUUCUCUCUUACCUGCACUUGUAUGAUUCUGUGUGUGUAAAUGGGAGAGGGUUAUGUGUAUAUGUCUAAAUUUUUGUUUUCAAGUAAACAUGCAUGUUUCCAUUUGAGUUUCCCUCAGUGUCAUCUGCUUGUCUCUUCUGUAUGUCUAUGUAAGUGACACAUGGUAACAAAAGCCAACUGGGAUCAAUAUUUUUCCUGUCCCCAAUGGGAAACAUGGAAGUUCCCUGAGAAAUCUGAAUAUAUGUUCCACUGAGGGCCUCCCAAGAGGCAUGUGAGAAAAGGAGAAAUGGGAAAAAUGAAUAUAGCCAUCCACUUCACAGAGAGGGAAACUGAAGACCAGAAAAAGGGAAUAUAUGUCUGAGAUAAUAUAGUAUGGUGGAAGCAAACAUUUGCUGAUCUAUUUAAAACCAGGAGUGGAUUCAUCAGGCUCUGUGCUGACAGCUCAGAGCCUGGAGCCUGCUUCGAUUCUGUGUCUCCCUCUCUCUCUGCCCCUCCCCUCUCAUGCUCUGUCUCUGUACCAAAAAUAAAUAAAAAA
Molecule: long non-coding RNA, 2825 nt
Organism: Lynx canadensis (Canada lynx)
Lineage: Eukaryota; Metazoa; Chordata; Mammalia; Carnivora; Felidae
Source: Ensembl